RNAcentral lists this ribosomal RNA (256 nucleotides) under uncultured bacterium. RNAcentral's name for it is "partial 16S ribosomal RNA". It matches the Rfam family "Bacterial small subunit ribosomal RNA", at positions 526 to 779 of the family's 1533-position model. The record is from RNAcentral.
CGUAGGUGCAAGCGUUAAUCGGAAUUACUGGGCGUAAAGCGUGCGCAGGCGGUUGUGUAAGUCAGAUGUGAAAUCCCCGGGCGUCAACCUGGGAAGUUGCAUUUGUAGACUGCACGGCUAGAGUGUGUCAGAGGGGUAGGAAUUCCACGUGUAGCAGUGAAUAGCGUAGAUAUGUGGAGGAAUACCGAUGGCGAAGGCAGCCCCUCGGGAGUAACACUGACGCUCAUGCACGAAAGCGUGGGAGGCAAACAGGAUU